This 335-nucleotide RNase P RNA is filed under the name Actinomycetota bacterium. RNAcentral's name for it is "RNase P RNA component class A". It matches the Rfam family "Bacterial RNase P class A". From Rfam's summary of the family: Ribonuclease P (RNase P) is a ubiquitous endoribonuclease, found in archaea, bacteria and eukarya as well as chloroplasts and mitochondria. The record is from RNAcentral. Lineage: Bacteria; Bacillati; Actinomycetota.
GGCGCAGGCCGGGUGACCGCGGGCCGGUCUCGGCUCGAGGAAAGUCCGGACACCGCAGGGCAGGACGCUGGGGCGACCCAGGCGGCGAAAGCCGACGGAAAGUGGCACAGAAAGGAGACCGCCUGCGGCGAGAGCAACUCUCCGGAGACGCCGAAGGCAAGGGUGAAACGGUGGGGUAAGAGCCCACCAGCGUCGUGGCGACACGGCGGCUCGCCAAACCCCGUCCGGUGCAAGGCGAACAGGCUCCGCUACGAGGCGGCCCGCCGAGGAGCCGGGUAGCCGCAGAGAUGGAUGGUCACCCUCGACAGAAUCCGGCUUACAGGCCUGCUACGGAA